Long non-coding RNA from Manis pentadactyla (Chinese pangolin), 672 nucleotides. RefSeq lists it as uncharacterized. Lineage: Eukaryota; Metazoa; Chordata; Mammalia; Pholidota; Manidae. The transcript is spliced from 2 exons. The record is from RefSeq and is a predicted model, not a curated record.
UGUGCAACACAGAGAAGACAAGCAGUGAUUCUACAGCAUCUUACUUUGCUGAUGGACAGUGACUGCAAUGGUGUAUGUAGGGGAAACUUGGUGAUGGGGGGUGAAGGGCCCCCACCAGUAAGAUGGCGAACUUCUGGCUUCUCUUCUGGGUCCUCAGUUCCCGACGGCGCCACCUAAAGACCAAUCACCUCUCUCCCCACUCCCACUCCCAGCACCUAGCCAAUAGCCACCAGCCCCGUAGAAGUGACACCACAAUCACCCCAUGCCCCUUCCUAUAUAACCCAACACCUUUCCCCAAUAAAGCGAAAUUCUCCGGUGAAUUGCUGCUGUGUAUCGCUCCUUUCCUUUCAUUGGUGCCAAAACCUGGGAGACGGGACACCCCAACUGGGCCCCGUCUUCCCCCCGACACCAGCAGCAGCUUGCCCUCGUCCUCUUUUUCCGGCGCUGGCUCCUCACACUCACCACUCCUCUUUGGCCUUUAGUUCAUCAAAUCCCAAGUCAGAAAAAUCUCUAAUUAAACUUUCAACCAGCUAUUACUCAGGAACUAUCAGCUUCUGGCCACAGAAGAUCCCUCACCCUCACGUGACCUCCUCACCACACGCUGAGAUGGACCCCUCUCUCCACUGGAAACUGUUCCUGGAAACAAUGGCCGCAGACGCCUGGCUUCUGACA